RNAcentral lists this ribosomal RNA (253 nucleotides) under uncultured bacterium. RNAcentral describes it as "partial 16S ribosomal RNA". It matches the Rfam family "Bacterial small subunit ribosomal RNA", at positions 524 to 776 of the family's 1533-position model. The record is from RNAcentral.
UACAGAGGUCCCAAGCGUUGUUCGGAUUCAUUGGGCGUAAAGGGUGCGUAGGUGGCGCCGUAAGUGGGGUGUGAAAUUUCGGAGCUUAACUCCGAAACUGCAUUCCAUACUGCGGUGCUUGAGGACUGGAGAGGAGACUGGAAUUCAUGGUGUAGCAGUGAAAUGCGUAGAGAUCAUGAGGAAGACCAGUGGCGAAGGCGGGUCUCUGGACAGUUCCUGACACUGAAGCACGAAGGCUAGGGGAGCGAACGGG